This 99-nucleotide non-coding RNA is filed under the name marine eukaryotic metagenome. RNAcentral describes it as "Pyrrolysine insertion sequence mtbB". It matches the Rfam family "Pyrrolysine insertion sequence mtbB". The record is from RNAcentral.
UAGGUUGGCGUCGGCGAUCCCUACGGCAUGCAUGCGGCGCAUGCCAUCGCUUCGGGGAUGGGCGGAUUACGCACUGCCGGAGAUCUGGUAGCGCGUUUG